Xenopus tropicalis (tropical clawed frog) is the source of this 5678-nucleotide long non-coding RNA. RefSeq lists it as uncharacterized. The transcript is spliced from 2 exons. NCBI's taxonomy places the organism in Eukaryota, Metazoa, Chordata, Amphibia, Anura, Pipidae. The record is from RefSeq and is a predicted model, not a curated record.
GGUCUUUUUUCAACCCUAUGUAACUAUGUAACUAUAUGAAGAGAAAAUUUAAAUCCAACUACCUGGUACCCGAGGAAUGGGCAUCGGUAGUCAAUGACAGAGAACCCCCAUCCAAGGGCAAAAAGAGCAUGGAAACAUCAGGCACUCAUGUAGUGACAUUAUCUAACCCAUCUUAGACUUAGUCAACCAGUGCCAGACCAUACACUCUCAACUCCAAAUUCAGUAAGAAAUAAUGCAGUUUUUGGUCUGGAGAGCCUAGAACAGGGGAAAAUGGGUCUCUCCACAGAGUCAGGGGAGCAGCACCUGCCUCCAACACAUUUAGAGGUUCUGCACAUGAAGUAUAAAGGGACGCCCAGUAAAACAUCUGCAGGGUGGGUAGUCAAUGCCCCUGAGGUGCUGAGUUUUGGGGACUGCAACCAUACUCAGUUUUCGGUGCCCCAGGGUAUUAUCUACCCUAGACCUUCUCCAUCAUGAAUUUGCCUAAAGCAGUACCAUUACUGGCAUACUGUAAGUGGCUUGCAUAUUUUAACAUCCUUGGUGCAUAACCUCACAUUUAUCUAUGUUGAAUCUCAUCUGUGACUUAGUGACCCAGCCUGCCAAGAUCCUGCUGCAUGAUGGCGUAUCUAACCUUCUUAUCUAAAUGAAACUAGCCUACUAGUUGACUUUAGAUGAGGUUUUUUUAUUUGUUUUCCUCUGGAUCAUGCAAUAUUUGCCUUUAGAAGGCAAACCACUUUGCAACCACUUUACCAUAGUGCCAGCACAAAGGUAGAAGCAUCAAUACGUUCUCUUGCCAUGGUGGUAGUUCCAGAGUUUUAAUCAGGGGUGUUCCUGGCACCAUGGCUACCCUGAGGUUGCCUACCCAUUGCACGCUACGCUUAUCUCUCUGGGCAUCAGAGCGGGGCAAGCCGCAUCGCUAGUGCAGAGAGUGCUAUAGUGCUCUCUGUGCUAGAACAGCCACCCCUGGCAACAUGUGGGCUGCUGCCACCUGAGGCAAGAAUUUCAACUCGCCUCAUGACAGCAGCGCCUCUGGUUCCAGUAGCAGGUUGCAUGAAUAGUCAUUACUAGUCAUUAGCAAAAAUCUAAUAUGAUGCUAAUGUCAUUAUUAACUCCACACACAUUUGCACAAAGGACGUUAUCUUUCACUCCCUGAAACACGCACUGCAAUUAGUGCACGUAUUGCACAGUAUGCCAGAAUGCUCGUAAGCAAAAAGAAAAGCUGCUUUGUGGAUAAACGACUUGGAGAUUUUUUCAGCCAAAAUGUGUAAACUGCACCAUAUGCUACUAAAUACAAAGAUCUUAGCGUAUUUAAUAUGUACAGGGGAGAUAAGCUGAAUAUAAACCAUUUAUUUUAUAACCUAUUCACUACAACAGUGUUUGCAAGGUUCUAUUCAAACAUGUGUUGUGAUUAUUCUGUUAUGUUUUUAUACUUUUUUCAACCUUUUCAUUUGUAUUCUUUUACUUGACUUCUAAGCAGUCAUUUAAUCAGUUUGUUUCUAUUUACAUUCAAUGGAGGAUGUUGACAUAGAUGAGAAGGAUAUGAUGUCAUCAGUAUGGGACAAUCAUUAUGUCAUCACUGUGGGUUUUCCCUCCAUUUUGGGUUUAUAAGGGAGGGGACUGUGACGCUUUGUAAUUUUGUCAAAGGCUGUGAACAUAGUGGUGUGCUGCUACAACUCCUGUGGAAGAGGAUGCAACAGAUGAACUCAUAAAACUGGUAAGUGUAAUAUUAAUCUAUCUAAUCUAUCUAGUGUGGGUGGAUGGAAAAAAUAAUUUUGCAUUGUUGUAUUUUGUUUAUCCUGUGCUUCUUUGUUUUACAAGUUUACAUGCAUUAGGAAAGAUUCUUUACUUAACUUGUUUUUGCAUGUUUUCCUCUUGUUAAAAGCCAGACAAAACCUUAGCCACUUUGGUACUUCAUCCUUGGCAUGUUUUUUGGUUUGUGCUUUUAUUUGGUAUGUAUGAGCGGAUAGAGAAAUACAUGUUGGCAUUGUGAACCUUCAGCUCAGGCAUGUGUUCCUUUUUACAGGUUUUCCUAGUUUGGAAACCAUCUAGGCUGUAUUGUACUUUAGACUUAUUUGGGAUCCUGUUUCUUCUGGUGAGUAUAAGUGGAUGGACAAAUGCAUUUUGGCUUGUUCUUCAGCCCCAGGCAUCUUUGUUUUAUAGGUUGGGCGUGAUGCACGUAGGGCAACCGUGUAUAUAGGUAACCUUGGACUGCUUAAGCUUGCGGCCAGUAGGUGAAUACAAGAAUAGGUGUGCAUUCAUAAGAGCAGUGGCUCUUAACCCUGAGCAUGUGUUUGUUUUCACAGGUUUUCCUGCUAAUGCUGUCUGCUGGAGCUUGAGAUUGGUAUGUUUGUUUAUGAAUGUACACCUAUUUCUCUACUAAGUAAAUUUGUUUGGCAGGUUUUGGGAACAGUCUAGCCUUUGUGGUACUUCAGCUUUACCUGGCAUCCUGCUUCGCUUUGGUGUGUUUUCAUGCUUCUGCCCAGGAAUCUUUGUUUUACAGGUUGAUCAUGAUCUUGGACUGCUUUAGUCUGAGACCACUAGGUAAGUAGAAUAGGUGUGCCUCCAUCAGGACAGUGAUUUUUAAGCCUGGGCAUGUUUUUGUUUUUACAGGUUUUCCUGGUUUGAAAAAAGUCUAGUCACAGCGGUACUUUUGCAUUAAUUGGGACCCUGUUUCUUCUGGUAUGUACGAAUGGAUGGACAAGUUAAUUUUGCAUUGUCAUUCUAUAAAUUGGGCCUCUUUGUUUUAUAGGUUGUUCAUGCUGUAAAAAAGGCGAGCAGUGUAGACUGGUAACCUUGGACUGAUGGAGUUUCUGACCAGUAGAUGAGUAAAAGAAAAGGUGUGUAUUCAUAAGGAAAUUGAUUCUUUAGCAUGGGUAUGUUUUUGUUUUUACAGGUUUUCCUGGUUGGGGAAAAAAGCCUAGAAACUGUGGUACUUUAGCCUUUUUUUUGGUAAGUAUGGGUGUAUAGAGAAAUACAUUUUGGAAUUGUUGUUUGUUUGGCUAGGGCAUCUUUGUUUCUCUGUUUUUGGUAGGUAGAUGAGUCGCUUGAGAAAUACGUGUUUUCAUUAUUCAGCCCAGAAUUCUUUGUUUUACAUGUCGAUCGUGAUCGUAGGAAAGGCAUACAGCGUGGGCAGGUAGCCUUGGACUGCAUGAGUUUGUGACCAGUAGAUAAGUAGAAUAGAGGUGCAUUAAUAAAAAAAAAAAAAAAAAAAGCGAUCCAUUAGCCCAGGCAUGCAUUUGUUUUUACAGGCUUUCCUGAUUUGGGAAAUGUUUAAUCAGUGUGGUACUUCAUUCUUGGUGUUUUUUUCUGGGAUCUUGGUAAGUAUGAGUGGGUGGACAAAUUUGGGCAGUUUGCUCUUUUAUUCUUCAGCCUAUCUGAUUUUUUUUACAGGUUAGGUCCAUGUAUAAGAGUGUAGUCUGGUAACUAUUCCUCUACUAAGUGUUUUUUUUUUUCAGCCCAUGCAGGUAUUUGUUUGGCAGGUUUUGGUAACAGUCUAGCCUUUGUGGUACUUCAGUCUUACCUGGGCUCCUGCUUUUCUUUGGUGAGUAAAUGCGUGGAUGAAGAAAUUCCUAUUGGUCUUUUCAUUCUUCAGCCCAGAAAUCUUUGUUUUACAGGUUGAUUAUUAUGUAGAAAAAGGCAAGCAACAUAGGCAUAUGUAGCCUUGUACUGCUUGAGUCUGAGACCACUAGGUAAGUAGAAGAAUAGGUGUGCAUUCAUAAGGACAGUGAUUUUUAAACCUGGGCAUGUUUUAGUUUUGCAAGUUAUCCUGGUUUGGAAACCGUCUAGUUACAGUGGUACUUCAGCCUUAAUUGGGGUCUUGUUUCUUCUGGUAAUUAUGAGUGAAUGUACAAAGUCCUAUUGACAUUGUGAUUCUUCAGGUCAGGCUUGUAUUUGUUUUACACAAAAAAAGGUACUUUUUCCUUGGCAGGUUUUUUGGGAUGCAGUUUCCUUUGGUAAGUAGAAGUAGAAGACCAAAUUAAUUUUGUCAUUGUAAUUCUUUAGCCCAGUCAUCUUUGUUUUUCAGGUUGGCACUGAUGUAGCAAAAGGCGAGCAGUGGAGGCCGCGUAAUCUUGUCUGCUGCGGCUUGUGAUCAGCAGGUGAGAAAAGGAGUAAGGGCGCAUGAGAUGAGUAGACUGUAUCUUUAGCCCAGGCAUGUAUUUGUAUUUACAGGUUUUCCUCAUAUGAAACAUCUACCCCCUUGGGUACUUGGUAGUUCUCUUGGGAUUCUCUUCUUUUGGUAUGUAUGAAUGUUUGAAGAAAUUAAUUUUGCAUUGUCAUUUUUCAUGCCGGGCAUCUUUGUGUUAUAGGUUGAGCCCUUUUAUAGGAAGGGAUAGCAGCAGAGGCAGACAACCUUGGACUGCUGGAGAACGCUAUAGGUAGGUGAGUGCAUAAGGAUUCUGUAUCUCUAGGAAUGUAUUUGUUUUUACAGGUUUUCCUGGUUUGGGAAAUAUUUAGUCAAUGUGGUAUGUCAUCCUUCACCGGUUUCUUGGGUGUGGAAGGACAAAUGCAUUUUGGUGUUGUCAUUCUUCUGACUGUGCAUCUGUUUUGCAGGUUGGGCCCAUGUGUAAGAAAGGGUAGACCGUAGAGGAAUAUGUGUGUGCAUUUAUAAAAGUCUUUUUUCAGCCCAGGAAUAUAUUUGUUUUGGAAACAGUCUAGCCUUUGUGGUACUUCAGCAUCACCUGGGAUCCUGCUUCUCUUUGGUAGGUAUGUGCAUGGAUGAAGAACUUGCUAUUGGUGUUUUCAUUCUUCAGCACAGAAAUCUUUGUUUUACAGGUUAAACAUGAUGCACAAAAGGCUAGCGGCAUAGGCAGGUAGCCUUGGACUGCUUGAGUUUGUGAAUGGUACAUCAUGCUUCUGGUACGUAUGGUAGAACUUUCUAUUGGUUUGGGAUUCUUCAGCCCAGGCAUGUGUUCAUUUUUACAGGUUCUCCUUGUUUGGGAAAGAUCUAGCCACUGGCAUUUCAUUCUUGGUAGGUUUCUUGGCAUCCUGUUUCUUUUGGUAGGUAUGAGUGGCUUGAGCAAUUAAUUUUGCAUACCUAAUUUAGCAUAAGAGACUGUUUGUUCGGCCUAGGCAUGUAUUCAUUUUUCCAGGUUGUCUUGGUUUGGGAAACAUCUAGCCAAUGUGUUACUACAUUCUUACUUCAGUCUUUGGGAUCCUGUAUCUUUUGGUAAGUAUGAGUGGAUAGACAAAUUUCUUUAGGCAUUGUGAUUCUUCAGCCCAGGAAUGUAUUUGUUUUUACAGGUUUUCCCUCAUGAAACAUGUAGCCACUUCAGUACAUCAUCCUGUGCAAGUUUCUUGGAAUGCAGUUUCUUUUGGUAAGUAUGAGUGGAAGAACAAAUUAAUUUUGGCAUUGUGAUUCUUCAGCCCAAGUAUCUAUUUGUUUUAUAGCUUGAGACAUUACAUGGGAAAAAGUCCAGAGAUGGUUAAGCUUCACCCUUGGCUGGUUGCUGCCUGGUUUGAUGAAGUCCCCAGCCUUGCAGCAGUUUCCUUAUGAUGAUGCCCCACCAACUCCACACCCAAGGCAACAGCCCUUCUUGCUUGGACCGAACAAGAUGAGUGGAUGAGAAACCUGAUGUCUCCUCUUUAUCACCGUGCCAUGAUGUAUCCAGUUGCAUUUUAUAUUUGUAUAUGGAUUGUAAAAUGUUUGUUUUUUAUUAAACACAUUUUUAUUUCACUUUCAA